This 1044-nucleotide long non-coding RNA is filed under the name Betta splendens (Siamese fighting fish). Its description in RNAcentral is "lncRNA (ENSBSLG00000018899.1)". The record is from RNAcentral. Lineage: Eukaryota; Metazoa; Chordata; Actinopteri; Anabantiformes; Osphronemidae.
GUUCACCUUCAACUCAGGAUUAAACCACAACAGUGACAACAUUAACACCACGAGUGGAGGCGUAUGAAAAUCACUACAGCACAAAGAGCAGACGGUCCAGUCCAGAAGAGGGAGGCAGCCUGAGCUCUGUGGCCUACGAGCUGGAACACUGGACUGGCGUGAGGCCUAAUGCUGAUUCUGCCUAAUGCCUUUAGUCACUUUGACUCAGCUUCAUUAGCCACAAAACGCCCGACACACAGGUCUGUGAGGCUGCAGUGCUCGGUCCCGGCGUUGGAUGAAGUGAGACCUGGGCUCAGUCACACUGUGGUGCAGGACGUUUAGAUGGAGCCAAAGUUCGACAUCAGGGCUUCCUGGUGUUAGAGGAGCUCGUUACAGACGAGCCCGCGCGUCAGCCUCAGCUUCCUUCUGCUUGUCUUGGUCUGAACAGCUUCUGUUGAUUGGCUCAUGUGGCUCAGACUGAUGGAGUUUCACUGACAUCUAUUGGUCAAGCAUCAGAACUGCAGAACCUUUAAUGAAGAAUGUGAUGCUUCAGCUCAAACCCAAACCUCCAAACAGAAGAAUUCAUUGUCUUCAGCAGUAAAGCUUCCUAUAUGAAUAUAUACAUUUCAAACUGUACUAUAGAGCAUUUAUUCUAAAACAUGAGCUCAGACAUGAAUUUCCUUUUGCAUUUGAUUGAUUUUUCAGAUUUAUUUUAUCCUCAAACAGCUGAUGUUGCUGCUACUGUGGCUACAACAACAACAAACAAACAACAAAUUUGGUGUUUAAACUGUGAAAAGUAUUAACUUGGGUACAUUGUUUGGGACAUCUGCAUGAAGGAACUCCCAGCUUUGGUUUAAGUCUAAGAUGUGGACUCCCCGUAAUGACUGGACCUGGACUGUUAAAGCUUAAGAAGAAGAAAAUAUGCAAAAAAAACUAAAUCACACUGAACAAAAAGUCACAACAGGCACAAAGACUUUGUGGAAACGCUGGAGAUGAAGCUGCAGUUAUGAACGAGGUCGGUGUUCACCAAUGUGGCACAAUUUAAUUUGUGCGGCAGGAACUGCA